RNAcentral lists this ribosomal RNA (247 nucleotides) under uncultured Actinomycetes bacterium. RNAcentral describes it as "uncultured actinobacterium partial 16S ribosomal RNA". It matches the Rfam family "Bacterial small subunit ribosomal RNA", at positions 28 to 276 of the family's 1533-position model. The record is from RNAcentral. Lineage: Bacteria; Bacillati; Actinomycetota; Actinomycetes.
GACGAACGCUGGCGGCGUGCUUAACACAUGCAAGUCGAGCGGUAAGGCCCUUUCGGGGGUACACGAGCGGCGAACGGGUGAGUAACACGUGGGUGACCUGCCUUUAGCUCUGGGAUAAGCCUGGGAAACUGGGUCUAAUACCGGAUAUGACUUCACAGUGCAUGCUGUGGGGUGGAAAGCCUUGUGCGGCUGGAGAUGGGCCCGCGGCCUAUCAGCUUGUUGGUGGGGUGAUGGCCUACCAAGGCGA